GGUUGUGUUCGAGAUUAUAGAGAGAUUGUGUUUCAUACAAUGAAAAAGCAUAUAUUUUUAUACUUUCACCUCAACUUCUGUUCGUAUAAUAUCGUUAGAUAACUCUUUGUAUCAAAAGAAACCGUUAAUUAAUUGCAAGUUUGUAGAACUUAUCUCUUCACUCUAUUUUGAAGAAAAGUUUUUCCUAUACCAUCUUUCUUUUAUUUGAAAUCACUUUGAAUGUUCUUAACUCGAUUUGUGACCAGCUCUACAUUUCACUAUUAUUGCAGAAGAAACACUCUC
RNAcentral lists this long non-coding RNA (282 nucleotides) under Ananas comosus (pineapple). RNAcentral's name for it is "long non-coding RNA (ACOM_LNC019288)". Lineage: Eukaryota; Viridiplantae; Streptophyta; Magnoliopsida; Poales; Bromeliaceae. The record is from RNAcentral.